This is a long non-coding RNA of Solea senegalensis (Senegalese sole), 595 nucleotides long. RefSeq lists it as uncharacterized. Lineage: Eukaryota; Metazoa; Chordata; Actinopteri; Pleuronectiformes; Soleidae. The transcript has 9 exons. The record is from RefSeq and is a predicted model, not a curated record.
UGGUUAGCAACAUUUGCAGACAGCCUCUCUCUCGCCGGUCUUCCUUCAGACUAUGGAGCGAGUCAGGGUUCCGCGGAUAAGCGUGGCAACGAUGAUGCGAAGUGUGAUGGAGUAGUUUUCCAAGCAUUUGUGGUAACUCUCAGGAAUGUGAGGUGAUGGGGCAGGACAUGAGAGCCAGAUGGGUGUCCUCACAGUUCUGGCCUCCUGCGUUGAUGCAGCAACAUGAUGUGUGAGCUGCAGCAGAUGAUGGCCUCUUGUGCCCAGACCUGAGCAGGGCUUGAGAAGCAAAGGUUUGUCUCCCACAAACCCCUCGAUGGCAGAAAAGAGGAGAUUCACUCGCCUGUGACAUCGGUGUGAGCCACAGCAGAUGGUCUUCUGAUCCCAGACCUGAGAAGCAAAGGUAACAAUGGAGCCAUGAGAGGGAUCUUCCACUGUAAGCACCAGCAGAGUGGAGCAGCUGUUGGGACGUGUCUACAGAGUUACUGUCACUUGACCCGAAAUGGAAGCAACAUCUAAAAUGACUUGAUGAAGCAGCACCAGUUUCAUCCUGUGUUCAACUGAACUUAAUAUCAAAUAAAUGUCAUUGCUGUGCUCA